GAUGAGAACGCAGCGAAAUGCGAUAAGUAGUGUGAAUUGCAGAAUUCAGUGAAUCAUCGAAUCUUUGAACGCACAUUGCGCCCCUUGGUAUUCCAUGGGGCAUGCCUGUUCGAGCGUCAUUUGUACCCUCAAGCUUUGCUUGGUGUUGGGCGUCUUGUCGUAUUACGACUCGCCUUAAAUACAUUGGCAGCCGGCACUUUGGCCUAGGAGCGCAGCACAUUUUGCGAUCGUAGCCCGUUGUACUGGCGUCCAUCAAGAACAUUUACCACGUUUGACCUCGGAUCAGGUAGGGAUACCCGCUGAACUUAAGCAUAUCAAUAAGCGGAGGA
RNAcentral lists this unclassified non-coding RNA (329 nucleotides) under soil metagenome. RNAcentral's name for it is "partial contains 5.8S ribosomal RNA, internal transcribed spacer 2, and large subunit ribosomal RNA". The stretch from base 5 to 119 matches the Rfam family "5.8S ribosomal RNA", at positions 40 to 154 of the family's 154-position model. The record is from RNAcentral.